RNAcentral lists this unclassified non-coding RNA (268 nucleotides) under Hevea brasiliensis (rubber tree). Lineage: Eukaryota; Viridiplantae; Streptophyta; Magnoliopsida; Malpighiales; Euphorbiaceae. The record is from RNAcentral.
AUUCUAUUGAUCUUGACGAGUUCAUCAAUGGUAUCUCGAAAUGGAUUGAAGAGGCAAAGCGAGCAGGGGCAGCCAUAGCCAACUCUGGCUCUAAGACAUUUAAGCUUAUAAAUGAUUUUCAUGUGCAAACAAAGAGGGAACAUUCUCUUUUGGGGCCUGAGGAUCGAGUGGAGGAUCAAAGUGAUGAGGUCGUAGAGGGUGUUGAAAACCCCAGAUGGAUCUCCAUCAAAGCAGUAUUGAUGUUGUUAUUAGGAACCAUUAUUGCUGC